RNAcentral lists this ribosomal RNA (511 nucleotides) under Hercostomus chaerophylli. Its description in RNAcentral is "partial 16S ribosomal RNA". It matches the Rfam family "Bacterial large subunit ribosomal RNA", at positions 1830 to 2597 of the family's 2925-position model. Lineage: Eukaryota; Metazoa; Arthropoda; Insecta; Diptera; Dolichopodidae. The record is from RNAcentral.
GUCUUUUUGAGUUUAAUUAAAAGUCUAAUCUGCCCACUGAUUAUUAUUUAAGGGCCGCAGUAUUUUGACUGUGCAAAGGUAGCAUAAUCAUUAGUCUUUUAAUUGAAGGCUUGUAUGAAUGAUUGGACGAGAUAUAAACUGUCUCAUAAUAAAUUUAGAUAGAAUUUUAUUUUUUAGUUAAAAAGCUAAAAUAUACCUAAAAGACGAGAAGACCCUAUAGAUCUUUAUAAUUUAUUAAUAAGCUUUUUUAGGUUAUUUUUUAGGUUUAUAAUUUAAAUUAUUUUGUUGGGGUGACAAUGAAAUUUAAUAAACUUUCAUAAUUUUAUUACAUUAAUUUAUGAUUUAUUGAUCCACUAUUAGUGAUUGAAAAUUUAAGUUACCUUAGGGAUAACAGCGUAAUUAUUUUGGAGAGUUCUUAUCGAUAAAAUAGUUUGCGACCUCGAUGUUGGAUUAAGAUUAAUUCUAGGUGUAGCCGCUUAGCUUAUUAAGUCUGUUCGACUUUUAAUUUCUU